GAUGAACGCUGGCGGCGUGCCUAAUACAUGCAAGUCGAGCGAACGGACGAGAAGCUUGCUUCUCUGAUGUUAGCGGCGGACGGGUGAGUAACACGUGGAUAACCUACCUAUAAGACUGGGAUAACUUCGGGAAACCGGAGCUAUUACCGGAUGAUAUCUUGAACCGCAUGGUUCAAAAGUGAAAGACGGUCUUGCUGUCACUUAUAGAUGGAUCCGCGCUGCAUUAGCUAGUUGGUAAGGUAACGGCUUACCAAGGCAACGAUGCAUAGCCGACCUGAGAGGGUGAUCGGCCACACUGGAACUGAGACACGGUCCAGACUCCUACGGGAGGCAGCAGUAGGGAAUCUUCCGCAAUGGGCGAAAGCCUGACGGAGCAACGCCGCGUGAGUGAUGAAGGUCUUCGGAUCGUAAAACUCUGUUAUUAGGGAAGAACAUAUGUGUAAGUAACUGUGCACAUCUUGACGGUACCUAAUCAGAAAGCCACGGCUAACUACGUG
Molecule: ribosomal RNA, 497 nt
Filed under: uncultured bacterium
Lineage: Bacteria
Description: partial 16S ribosomal RNA
Rfam family: Bacterial small subunit ribosomal RNA
Source: RNAcentral